Molecule: transfer RNA, 72 nt
Filed under: Brycon orbignyanus
Lineage: Eukaryota; Metazoa; Chordata; Actinopteri; Characiformes; Bryconidae
Description: tRNA-Thr
Rfam family: tRNA
About the family: Transfer RNA (tRNA) molecules are approximately 80 nucleotides in length. Their secondary structure includes four short double-helical elements and three loops (D, anti-codon, and T loops).
Source: RNAcentral
GCCCUAGUAGCUUAACCUCAAAGCGCCGGUCUUGUAAUCCGGAGAUCGGAGGUUAGAAUCCUCCCUAGCGCC